UGUUGCUCUUUAGUUGGUUUGAUGGACCUGUUGUGCUCCUUAAGGCUCUAUUCUUGUCCACCAAUAGAACUAAAUGUAAAACAUCAACAAGGACAGAAUCUGCCUCCAAUUGCUCAACAUCUAGACGAAAUUCGCAGCAUUUGAAUGGUCCACUGACUUCUAUGUUUUAUCCUGGCAUGAACCUUUAGCAAGUAGGUCACAUAAGCAUGUUAUGUAAUUGUUUCCACUUUUAUCCAGUUAUGGUUCAGAUUAGCAUCUUGUCAGAUGAUUUUUCUAAUUUGAUAAUUUUUCUGAUUUAAUCAUUUCUGUCUAAUAAGUCCUCAUUAAUGUCAGUUUUGAUUGACAAUUGAAGCUAAAAUAAAGAAACAUUACAGCAGCCAUUGACUGUAAUUGUACCAUAGAGUGGUGCCAUGAGAAGCCCAAAAGUUUCAACUACUGAGAAAGAUAGAGUAACAUAAUUAACUGAAUUCAGCGGUUUAGCUUGUUGUUGCACACAUGCAUGUCAUUGAACACACUGAACUUAACUAGGGUCAAUGUGUUUAUAAGAUUGAAUGUUGAACUUUGAUGUUCUUCUUUAACAGGUUCUGAUCCAAACAACAGGUGAUUGGAAAAAAAAAAGAAACCUAUAUUUAAGUGAACUCAGUUACUUCCGAGAUAAGUCAACUUGGAUGAAUACAUUGGAAGCUUCAACCUCAGUGGUCAAGAAGAGAAACCUGAGGUUUUGAGAGGCUGCUGAAUUAGUUGACCUAGAUCAGUUCUAAUUUAAAAAUGCAAAACUUUAAAAUGGUUUAGAAGAGCAUGUGUCCAUUAAGGUAAGUGUGAG
Molecule: non-coding RNA, 823 nt
Organism: Xyrichtys novacula (pearly razorfish)
Lineage: Eukaryota; Metazoa; Chordata; Actinopteri; Labriformes; Labridae
Source: the annotation of a GenBank genome assembly